UUUUCUUGGCUUGUUGUGGCUGCUAUGGCCGGGUCAUUGAAUGUAUUGCUGACAAACCCGAUAUGGGUUCUUGUGACUCGUAUGCAGACACACACUCAAGCAGAAAAAAAAAUUAUGGAGAGAAAGAAAGAAGUUUUAAUCAGGGAAGCUUCUGAGAGUGGCUUACAAGGUUCAGCUUUACAGGACAAAUUGGCUGAACUUGAUUCAAUAAAACCUCGUCCUUAUGGGACUUUACAUGCGGCAUGUGAAGUUUAUAAUGAAGCUG
Molecule: unclassified non-coding RNA, 265 nt
Filed under: Hevea brasiliensis (rubber tree)
Lineage: Eukaryota; Viridiplantae; Streptophyta; Magnoliopsida; Malpighiales; Euphorbiaceae
Source: RNAcentral